This 524-nucleotide ribosomal RNA is filed under the name uncultured bacterium. Its description in RNAcentral is "partial 16S ribosomal RNA". It matches the Rfam family "Bacterial small subunit ribosomal RNA", at positions 28 to 523 of the family's 1533-position model. The record is from RNAcentral.
GACGAACGCUGGCGGCGUGCCUAAUACAUGCAAGUCGAGCGCAGGAAGCCGUCUGAACCCUUCGGGGGGACGACAGUGGAAUGAGCGGCGGACGGGUGAGUAACACGUAAAGAACCUGCCCAUAGGUCUGGGAUAACCACGAGAAAUCGGGGCUAAUGCCGGAUGUGUCAUCGGACCGCAUGGUCCGCUGAUGAAAGGCGCUCCGGCGUCGCCCAUGGAUGGCUUUGCGGUGCAUUAGCUAGUUGGUGGGGUAACGGCCCACCAAGGCGACGAUGCAUAGCCGACCUGAGAGGGUGAUCGGCCACACUGGGACUGAGACACGGCCCAGACUCCUACGGGAGGCAGCAGUAGGGAAUCUUCCACAAUGGACGAAAGUCUGAUGGAGCAACGCCGCGUGAACGACGAAGGCUUUCGGGUCGUAAAGUUCUGUUGUAAGGGAAGAACAAGUGCCGCAGGCAAUGGCGGCACCUUGACGGUACCUUGCGAGAAAGCCACGGCUAACUACGUGCCAGCCGCCGCGGUAA